UCGGUGAAUUUGGUGGACCCGUCGUCAAGGCUGAAGAAGAUCUGGCCGUCCUCUUCACACUGCAGGACGGGCCAUAGAGACAACAGUCAGUGUGCCUGUAGACAUAAGAGAGAUGGGGAGGUCAAAGAGAGAAGAAGCCCAGAGGCAAGAUAAAGCUCACUUACUGGUUGGCUGUGUGGUUGCAGCGACUGAGGAGCCUUACCCGUCCACCUGGCCUUGUUGGUGGAUCAUCCGAUGGGACUCUUCUCGCGUUAUCC
Salmo salar (Atlantic salmon) is the source of this 257-nucleotide non-coding RNA. NCBI's taxonomy places the organism in Eukaryota, Metazoa, Chordata, Actinopteri, Salmoniformes, Salmonidae. The record is from RefSeq and is a predicted model, not a curated record.